This 627-nucleotide ribosomal RNA is filed under the name uncultured Verrucomicrobiota bacterium. RNAcentral's name for it is "bacterial SSU rRNA". It matches the Rfam family "Bacterial small subunit ribosomal RNA", at positions 70 to 680 of the family's 1533-position model. The record is from RNAcentral. Lineage: Bacteria; Pseudomonadati; Verrucomicrobiota.
UCCGUUGUAGCAAUACGAUGGAAAGUCUAGUGGCGAACGGGUGCUUAACACGUGGGCAACCUGCCAGGAAGUGGGGGAUAGCUCGCCGAAAGGCGAAUUAAUACCGCAUGUGAUUAGAGAGGACAUCCUUUCGAAAUUAAAGUCGGGGCAACCUGACGCUUCUUGUGGGGCCCGCGGCCUAUCAGCUAGUUGGUGGGGUAACGGCUCACCAAGGCUUUGACGGGUAGCUGGUCUGAGAGGACGACCAGCCACACUGGGACUGAGACACGGCCCAGACACCUACGGGUGGCAGCAGUCGAGAAUUUUUGACAAUGGGGGAAACCCUGAUCGAGCGACGCCGCGUGGAGGAUGAAGGUCUUCGGAUUGUAAACUCCUGUCAUUGGGGAACAAUGCGUGACGGUUAACUGCCGUUGCGUUGAUAGUACCCGAAGAGGAAGAGACGGCUAACUCUGUGCCAGCAGCCGCGGUAAUACAGAGGUCUCAAGCGUUGUUCGGAUUCAUUGGGCGUAAAGGGUGCGUAGGCGGCGCGGUAAGUCGGGUGUGAAAUCUCGGAGCUUAACUCCGAAACUGCAUUCGAUACUGCCGUGCUUGAGGACUGGAGAGGAGACUGGAAUUCACGGUGUAGCA